Molecule: long non-coding RNA, 2639 nt
Organism: Talpa occidentalis (Iberian mole)
Lineage: Eukaryota; Metazoa; Chordata; Mammalia; Eulipotyphla; Talpidae
Exons: 5
Source: RefSeq, a predicted model, not a curated record
AGCUCAUGCCAGGUCCGUGUCUGGACUAGACCGGUUGAAAGGACUCUGAGGAGGGCGGGCGCAGAGAGGUCGGCCUCAGCUCCUCCCUCCAAUCUCUCCUCCUGCCCGAAGGACAUUUCUUUCUUUUUGUUUGGCUUGAAGGCCCUUGACUAUCAACCCCAGCUGAACCCAGAUGGGGGUGGGGUGAAUGAAGGGUGACGUGCCACUGAAGUCCUUGGUGCAGGAACGACAAAAGGUGACUGCCCUUUGGCUUGCAUAGCAGGACAAAGCUCUUGCCUUCACUUUAGGCCUGAAGGCUGACAGGACUCCCCUUGGACAGCAGCCACAGCUCCUACAUGGCGCCAGUGUAAGUAGAGUUCAGCUGGGUCCUCCACUCCGUAUCAGACGAGGCUCUCAACUGAAGAAAUCAAUUCAAUCCUCUGGACACUUACAGACACACGGAAGCUUGACUCGGGAACAAUCUGCUUCCAAGUCUCUGUAUAUUGUUGGCGGGAAUCACUGCCAUAUGGCUGUAGAGUACAUGGCAGCCUGUGCCUCCCGGAGCAGCCACAGCCAGCCUGCUGCUGCGGGCCCGCUGGCUUCUGGAAGAGAAGGGUCCAUCUUCCAUAGUUUUUUUUACCUGAUUACAUCAGGAACAUCCAGGAAAAUCCUUGGAUUGACUCAAACCUGCUAAUUUGUCGCUUGAAGCAACCUAAUUACAGGAGAAACAGCUUACCCCGUCCCCCACAUCGAGGGGAAGGGAUUACAUGGGAUGUCUACACCAGGGAGUGAGGAUUUUAGAGACCGUCUUCAUUGCUGCCACCACCAUCCUCAGGCUUUUAAACAGCCAUUGGGCCACCCUCUAAGCAACUAAAAUCCAAGCAACUAACAUCCAAAGAACUGAAUAUUGCUACUGAAAAUGUCAUGCAAAGAUACCACGCACUUCAUAAAAGUGGUACUCUGUUUCUCAUUCCCUGCUGAUGGGCGAGAGUACCCGAUCGUAUCCCUGAGACACCGUUGACACGUUCUGUGAUUUUCUGUGGCGAAUGCCCAAAGAGAGCCAGCCUCCCUGGAGCUAGAUGUUCCCUCCAGAAUCACCACCUCCGACAGCAAGAACCAGGAGAGGACACCAAAGAACCCCACCAGCCUGAUAGAGGUUCAUGAUGGAUGACAAGGACAUGAAAUAGAGCUUCAACAAUUAGUUGAUUUUCUUAUGUUUUCUUUUUCUUAUGUUUAUCAUAUAAGUGUUUACACAUAAACAGAUUAUUUCUUACAUUUUAUGGGAACUUAACUGCUAUUUGUUGAAUCAGCAUGACAGUCUCAGAGAGUCCCUGGCAACUUCAAUGAACUACUGUCCUCUACACUCUUUUAAAGGCAAACAUUAAAAAUUCAAGCCAUGAGAUAGUCCCCCUGCCCCAUAACACUUAGAAUAAAUCAAAAUCCCUUACCAAAAAAUUUUCCCUGAUGUGGCCUUUCUUCUAAUGAUCUUCUCAUUGCACUACCUGUUGUGCUUAAGAUUUUAUCUUCAUAAAUUUAGCUCAAUCUGUCCCUACACUAAUCUCUUUACACUUGCUCUUCCUCAAUCCUAGAACACAGUCAUUGGUUAUACUGGCAAAGAGAUGCAUAGCCAUAAAGUUAUAUUACAUUUAGAGAGUCUCAUGCAAUGAAACUAAAUAGUACUGUGAGUCAAAGUUACAUUUGGUCCAUCUUGAGUGACAAUCACACUAUAAAUAUUGAGAUUAUCACAAUGAAGCCUUUUAAAAAGUAUACCAAGAAGGUAACUUGAUAAUUCAGGGCUAAGAGAAGGCUGUAAUACAUACAGCUACUUUUCUGCUAGUUGACUUUGGUCAAAAUCAGAUUCAAUCAAAUGUUACAUGUCGAGUAACAUUUUUUUCCUGCCUUCUGCCAUCAUUUAGUUAAUGACAGAGGUUCACGUUCCUACUGAACGCACUCUAAGCCAGAAAUUAAAACAUUUAUCUUGAACCACUAAUAAAUAAAAAGAAUAUUAAUUCAUCAACCAAUUGUUGAUUAAUAAAUUGUUGUAUGCAGUUGGCCUCCAAUUGCCUACUGGAUCUCUAAACACAUUUUUUAAUCAUUGUUAUUUAACUAUCACAUUAAUCAUUGCUGCCGCUAACACAGAAAAAUGUUUUAAAUCAUGUAAGAAUUCUCUGGAUUAAGUGAAAGAAAGUGGGAAAUGAUGAUGUGAUCAGAUUACAUUGGAUAAAGUUGAGAAAAUAUGGUUAGAAAGAAAUUGAGUAAGUUGAUUGAGCAAAACAGAGCAUUUAAUGAAAGUUGGUGAGAGCAUGGGAGGAGGUGAUAUGGAUGUAAUUGACAGACUUUAGUUGAACUGGAAAUAAUUGGGUGUGACAUAAUUUCUUUUUCUUUCUUGUCUCAUUCCUCUUUUUGACAAGUCUGCCAGGUUUUACUGUCAGAGAUAGUUAAUGGAUAUAAUUGACAUAGAUAAAGAGCAGGUGUAGGAGAAAAAGGUUUAAGGAGUUGAGUAUCAAUAAUCUGUUUGCAAUAUAAAGGAAAAUGUAUAGUACAAAACAGAUGGCCAAUUCUUAACAAACUCUGUGAAAGACAAAAAGGAAAUCCAUUGUUACCAAAACAUGCCAAGUCUGUGACAUAUAGUUAUAAUUAUUGGGCAACCUUUGGUCUCU